Molecule: ribosomal RNA, 440 nt
Filed under: uncultured bacterium
Lineage: Bacteria
Description: partial 16S ribosomal RNA
Rfam family: Bacterial small subunit ribosomal RNA
Source: RNAcentral
CCUACGGGUGGCAGCAGUGGGGGAUAUUGCACAAUGGGGGGAACCCUGAUGCAGCGACGCCGCGUGUGGGAAGACGGUCCUCUGGAUUGUAAACCACUAUCCCCAGGGACGAAAAUGACGGUACCUGGGGAGGAAGCUCCGGCUAACUACGUGCCAGCAGCCGCGGUAAUACGUAGGGAGCGAGCGUUGUCCGGAAUUACUGGGGGUAAAGGGAGCGUGGGCGGGGAUCAAAGUUGGGUUGCAAAACUACCGGCUCAACUGGUAGUCGCACUCAAAACUGCAGCUCUUGAGUGAAGUAGAGGCAGGCGGAAUUCCUAGUGUAGCGGUGAAAUGCGUAGAUAUUAGGAGGAACACCAGUGGCGAAGGCGGCCUGCUGGGCUUUUACUGACGCUGAGGCUCGAAAGUGUGGGGAGCAAACAGGAUUAGAUACCCGAGUAGUC